ACUUGGUUACCCUUAAGAACACCAAUUUUGACUUUUCAAAUUGACUUUUCCUUUCUUCUUAUGCAUCACACCAUAUUAGGGAUCAAAUCAACCACCAACAUUCCAGACCAUAAAUCAAUCCGCAAUGACUCAACUCAAAAUCCAAAUACAUCGAUCCCUUUCUUCCUAACCAGAACCCUAGAAGAGCUUGACGUCGACUUCACUGGAGAAGCAAUCAAAACCCUAGAAAAGUAUGGUCAUCAUGUUCAUUGUGUUCAAGCUGUUUGAUUCGAAGUGGCCGACAUAAAUGUUGCGGACUUCACCGAGGUUUGGUUUUUGGUGAUUGUGGCGGGUUUUGAUAGCAGGUUUCAAACACAACCACUAGUUGUUCUUCUCCUCUUUCUUGUUGCUCCACUUUCUACUGAUAUGUAAAGUCCUGCCUUCUUCCACUUCAACCUUCACAUCCGACUUGAAGAUGGAUUUGGAUUAAACAAAUUAAAUAAAAAUUGAUACGUUGGAAUGGAAGGUGGAUGGAUGAAAGUCACAUGGAUGCUUUUAAACUUCACUCAUCUACUCCGCCAUUCAGAUCUUUCUCUCUCCCUCUCUCUCUCUCUCACAUAAAUCUUACAUGAGUCAAGCAACCUCAUCGAAUCUCUCUUUCUAUCUCUUUUCCAGAGAAUCGAAAUGCAAAAUACAAUGGGUUUGUUGACAUUUUGCUGAUUCCGACAACGUGAAGAAUGUCGAAAGCACCAGUGUUGUAAUGAAGCACAAAAUAUAUUCAUAUAUUUCGUGGAUUUUUGCAGCAUUAGAUGCUUGAUCUUGUUGUUACUCAGAAGACCUCAUCGCGGAGUGGGUUCCAUAAAUGGAUUUGUUGUUCUUGGGGAGUCGAUAUUAAGGGUGAGUGUCCAAUUUUGACUUUUAAAUUGUAUUUGAGAAAGGAAAAAAUUAUAUUUUGACUUUUCAAUGGGAAAAUGCUUAUGUAGAAUAUCAAAUUGGCUAAUACAAGUCAGAGGGACUAAAAAGACGGGUUAAUUUAAAGUUUGUUCCCUUAAAAUGCUCGAAAUUUAAGGACUGAAUAGGUAAAGUCGAAAUACAUACUAGGGCUAAUGUGUCAUUUUCCAAAAAAAUCACUAAGUUAUAUUUGAAAAACGACAUUUUGAAGUGUGUAAAGAUGAAACAAAUAAGUUGUAGGGUCAUUUAGGGACUAUUUGAUAUAUUUUUUAUUGGAUCUAGUAAGAUGAUGGGUCUAACUCGGUCAAAUUCAAAUUGUUUGAUACAUGAUUAGAAGCAUCUGGUUCGAUCAUAUAACAUCUGAUAUGUCUCAUCUUAGGACUAGUUGGAAGUUGGAUAUGACUCAAUCAGAUUUUGAUUCUAUCAACAAUUAUCAGAUAGCUUCGGCCAUUAGUUUCCCAUUCAUAUCUUUAGUAGCACCCCAAUAGUAUCUUGUGUUUCCUUUACUUCCCAUUCAACCAAUUUUAGGAAAAUAUGGUGUAUUAUUGUAUUUGGUGAAGAAGGGGUGAGGCCCUUUAAUAAAUCUUAGAAUAUCAUGGUACUAUAUUUCUAACAUAAUAGGUCCAACUUUGACUUUAUAUAUAUAUAUAUAUAUAUAUAUAUAUAUAUAUAUAAUAAAGGAAACCUUUUGUCCACGUGUCACUUCCACCAAACAUUUUACAUCAAAAUGAAUUUCCUGUUAUACCCCUCCAUUCAAUAUUCAAUUUAAUUCGGUUUCUCUUUUUGGAUCUUAAUUUAAAUUCAUCUGUGUAUACGAUACUAUUUACAAAAUAAUUUUUUACUAUUAUGUUUUUAAUAAACUACUUUAAUAAAAUUUUAUAUUUCUUUAUUUUAUUAUCAUUUUUAAUCAUCAAUAUUUUUUUCUUUCUUACCCGUGGUUUCUACGGGUUGUAACCUACUAUAUAUAUAUAUAUAUAUAUAUAUAUAUAUAUAUAUAUAUAUAUAUAUAUAUAUAUAUAUAUAUAUAUAUAUAUAUAUAUAAUCCUAAUAAAAACCUCUCCUAAAAUCCACUUGUCCAACUUUUAGACUACAAAUCUGCCACGUGGCAGUACAAGAAGCAAUAAACAAAAAACUUUUCCUCCCAUAUACACAUUCCUUCAAUUCGUCAAUCCAUAUAAAACAAUUUUAAAAUUGAAAAUUCCAUAUUCCAUAUUGAAGAAAUUGAAGAUUGAAGAUGUUGAAGAUUAAAGAUCUUAUAUCCCUUAAAAUGAGGAGCCGAAGUUGAUGCUAGUCAGUUAUCUUCUAAUCUUCUGAUUCAAAUAUACCUUAAAUCCUUGAAAAUCAUGUUCAAAAUAAAUGCAUAUGCAUAUAUCAGAUCCUAUAAUCGGUUUUACUUCCACAGAGUAUUAUAUUUCAAACAAUCUUUGACGACAUUCUCUCUGAGCUCUGAUGACUUCCAUGGAAUAGGAAAAACUAAAAACAAUCGAUGAUAAUAAUAAAAGGUUUGUACUUCAUUUCGAUUACAACUCAUUUAUAUCGUUUAUUUAGUUAUCAUUAAUUUACAUAUCUAUAUUUCCCUGUCUUUCUUUCUGUAUGAAUAAUUUAUAGUCAAGAAAGUAAUGUUUAUGUUCCUGUCUCAUCGUUUGAAUUUUUCUUAAAACAAGCGAAUGGUUGCUAGACGCAUCGUUUUUGGAUUGGUCUUGUGAUUCACUUCCUUUUUCUAUUUCUUUUUGUUUACUAGAAUUGGUUUCUUCAUUAUAAGUUUGAUCGUAUUGAAUGAUCAAAUCUUCCUAAUGGUUCUUAAGUGAAUAUCUACUAAUUCAUCUUAAAAUUUGAAGUAUUGGAUGUUGAUGAGUCGUUGUGGCUUUAUGAUCAACGAAUUGUUGCGUGGAUUAUACAUUUGGAUGUUCUUUGGCGUAAAAAGGUUUUGGAGAAUAUCAUUCAGCCGUGUUUGGUGGAUUAAAUCAUGACAUGAUGUCAAGCUAAAGAAAAUAAGCUCACACUCACACUUGAAUUUGAUGGAAUUUCAGGGUUACACUAAUUGUAUGUUCAUUUGUUUUGAUUUGUUUGUGUGGUUUCUCAUUGAUUAAUCAACUACAUUAUGAUGAAACGUAUGUUUGAUCUUUAAAAAAAGAUUAAUUUGUUAUAUUUCUUAUUGUUUAUAAAUAAUUUGUUGAAAACA
Non-coding RNA from Lactuca sativa (garden lettuce), 3112 nucleotides. NCBI's taxonomy places the organism in Eukaryota, Viridiplantae, Streptophyta, Magnoliopsida, Asterales, Asteraceae. The record is from RefSeq and is a predicted model, not a curated record.